This 1054-nucleotide long non-coding RNA is filed under the name Gallus gallus (chicken). Lineage: Eukaryota; Metazoa; Chordata; Aves; Galliformes; Phasianidae. The record is from RNAcentral.
GGAAAUCCACUGCAAAAAUUUUUCCAUUACUGCGUAGAAUCCUGACUUGUGGAAAAGCAGCCCUUCAGAAAGAGGGCUCGUUCUUAGGUUCUUGCCAAGUGGUUUCUGUUCUGGAUGCCAUGAGAUCUCCUGUUCACCCACGACCGGACACCAAGAAGGGCAGUUUACAUGUUUGAUGCUUCAGGCAAGAAGAUUACAAUCUGAACUGACCGAAUACAUGUGCAAAGAGGAGCAAAGAGAGACCUUCAGGCACAAGAAAACAUAAACUUUUGGGAAGGGAAUCAGUGACAAUCUAAUACUUCAGUGAAGAAAUAUGCAUAAAAGAGGAGGAAAUGUGUUCCACAAAGAAGGAAGAUGUAAAGGAUGUUUUCCAUCUUCUCGGCUAAGAGAAGGCCAAGAUUGCCCAUAUGCAAUGACUAAAUGUGAAGUACAGAAGAAAGGACAAAAAAAGUACAGAUUUUGAAAAAGGCAAGGUGAAAAACAAAACUCUUUUUUUCUUUUAUUAAAAUUUGUUGCAAACACAUACGUAGUUUAAAUGAUUUUCACUGUAGCAUGUGCAUAGAUUUGUGUGUUCUUGCCUAUACCCUAUGUUGUUUAAAUUGGAUUUCCUUAGAGUACUUGUGUGAGGUAUUUUGUGUGCAAUAUUUUAUUAUAAUUAAAGUGGAUUUGAAAGAAAAAUCUUGCUUUUCCUGUUUUAAGUGCGUAGAAGGGUGGUUUUGGUUGCAAUCUGUAAUUACAGGAUGGAGAGUUCCUCCUGGUUUUGGUGUUACCAUUAUUCAACUCCUGUCCUUCAAAUUUCAGGCGGUCCUGAAAAUUGUCUGUACUUUCAUACUCACUUAAGAAAGUGAGAGCCCCUAACAUAGUCUUUGGUCACCUUUAUUCAUCCUUGGCUUCUGUUAAAAAUUUGCUUUAUGGCCCAGAUCUGUUUUUUGGCUUAUUAUUAGAACACUCAAUGCAUCUUUACUAAAGAGAAGAUCCCUCCCAACACACUAGCUGUUUCUCACUGUGUUGGGGUAGCUUGUGCGACCUUAUCUCUGAGUAAAAUAAGCAUGCC